GACGAACGCUGGCGGCGUGCCUAACACAUGCAAGUCGAACGAGAAUCUUUGGAAUGAUUCUUUCGGGAUGAAUUCUAAAGAGGAAAGUGGCGGACGGGCGAGUAACGCGUGAGUAACCUGCCCAUAAGAGGGGGAUAAUCCAUGGAAACGUGGACUAAUACCGCAUAUUGUAGUUAAGUUGCAUGACUUGAUUAUGAAAGAUUUAUCGCUUAUGGAUGGACUCGCGUCAGAUUAGAUAGUUGAUGAGGUAACGGCUCACCAAGUCAACGAUCUGUAGCCGAACUGAGAGGUUGAUCGGCCGCAUUGGGACUGAGACACGGCCCAGACUCCUACGGGAGGCAGCAGUGGGGAAUAUUGCGCAAUGGGGGCAACCCUGACGCAGCAACGCCGCGUGCAGGAAGAAGGUCUUCGGAUUGUAAACUGUUGUCGCAAGGGAAGAAGACAGUGUCGGU
This 452-nucleotide ribosomal RNA is filed under the name uncultured bacterium. RNAcentral's name for it is "bacterial SSU rRNA". It matches the Rfam family "Bacterial small subunit ribosomal RNA", at positions 28 to 461 of the family's 1533-position model. The record is from RNAcentral.